This 253-nucleotide ribosomal RNA is filed under the name uncultured bacterium. RNAcentral's name for it is "partial 16S ribosomal RNA". It matches the Rfam family "Bacterial small subunit ribosomal RNA", at positions 524 to 776 of the family's 1533-position model. The record is from RNAcentral.
UACGAAGGGGGCUAGCGUUGCUCGGAAUUACUGGGCGUAAAGCGCACGUAGGCGGUCUUUUAAGUCGGGGGUGAAAUCCUGGAGCUCAACUCCAGAACUGCCUUCGAUACUGGAAGACUUGAGUCCGGGAGAGGUGAGUGGAACUGCGAGUGUAGAGGUGGAAUUCGUAGAUAUUCGCAAGAACACCAGUGGCGAAGGCGGCUCACUGGCCCGGUACUGACGCUGAGGUGCGAAAGCGUGGGGAGCAAACAGG